AUUCAUACGACAGAAAUUGAGCCUAAGAAUAUGAUGCCGUCUAGUUUUGCCAUGAAGUGCCGAAAACAUUUGAAGGGUCGGAGAUUAGUCAGUGAGAAACAAUUUGGUGUGGAUAGAAUUGUAGAUUUUCAAUUUGGAAGUGAUGAAGCUGCUUAUCAUUUAAUCAUUGAGCUCUAUGAUAGGCGGAACAUUGUUCUUACAGAUUAUGAGUACGUAAUUUUAAAUAUUCUAAGGUUUUGAACUGAUGAGGCAGAUGAUGUUAAAUUUGCUGUUCGUGAACGCUAUCCACUUGAUCAUGCUAGAGCUGCUGAACCUUUGCUUACUUUGGAAAGAUUGACUGAAAUAACAGCCCGUGCACCUAAGGGUGAACUACUGAAGAGAGUGCUCAACCCAUUGCUUCCCUAUGGACCAGCUCUCAUUGAACACUGUCUUAUAGAAAAUGGAUUCUCGGGUAAUGUCAAAGUGGAUGAAAAACUUGAAACUAAAGAUAUUGAAAAAAUACUUGUUUGUCUGCAGAAAGCAGAAGACUAUAUGAAAACAACAUCCACCUUCAGUGGGAAGUGAUAUAUCAUUCAGAAAAGAGAAACAAAACCAAUCUGGAAGCAGAUAAACCAGUCGAAGACAUACUCACGUAUGAGGAAUUUCAUCUUUUCUUGUUUUCUCAACAUUCACAAUGUCCAUAUAUAGAAUUUGAAUCAUUUGACAAGGCUGUGGAUGAGUUUUAUUCCAAGAUAGAAGGCCAGAAAAUUGACUUAAAAGCUUUACAACAGGAAAAGCAAGCAUUGAAGACAUUAGAUAAUGUUCGAAAGAAUCAUGAAAACAGAUUGGAAGCCCUUCAGCAGACUCAGGAAAUAGACAAACUGAAAGGAGAGCUCAUAGAAAUGAACCUACAAAUAGUUGACAGAGCCAUUCAGGUAGUUCGAAGUGCUUUGGCUAGCCAAAUAGAUUGGACAGAAAUUGGGUUAAUUGUGAAAGAAGCCCAAGCUCAAGGAGACCCUGUUGCAAGUGCAAUCAAAGAAUUAAAACUACAAACAAAUCAUGGUACAAUGCUGCUAAGAUAUCCAUACUUGUUAUCAGAGGAGGAAGAUGAUGAUGUUGAUGGUGACGUCGGUGUUGAGAAAAAUGAAACCGAACCACCAAAAGGAAAAAAGAAAAAGCAAAAGAAUAAACAGCUGCAGAAGCCUCAGAAAAAUAAGCCAUUACUUGUAGAUGUUGAUCUCAGCUUGUCAGCAUAUGCCAAUGCCAAAAAGUAUUAUGAUCACAAGAGAUAUGCUGUUAAGAAAACGCAAAAGACUGUUGAAGCUGCUGAGAAGGCAUUCAAAUCAGCAGAAAACAAAGCAAACAUUAAAAGAAGUUCAGUCUGUUACCUCUAUUCAAAAAGCAAGAAAAGUAUAUUGGUUUGAGAAAUUUCUGUAGUUCGUUAGCUCAGAGAACUAUCUAAUUAUAGGUGGACGAGAUCAGCAACAGAAUGAAAUAAUUGUGAAAAGAUACUUGACACCAGGAGACAUUUAUGUACAUGCUGAUCUUCAUGGAGCUACUAGCUGUGUAAUUAAGAAUCCAACAGGAGAACCCAUUCCCCAAGGACCUUGACUGAAGCUGGCACAAUGGCACUUUGCUACAGUGCUGCUUGGGAUGCACGAGUUAUCACUAGUGCUUGGUGGGUGUACCAUCAUCAGGUAUCUAAAACAGCACCAACUGGAGAAUAUUUGACAACAGGAAGCUUCACGAUAAGAGGAAAAAAGAAUUUUCUUCCUCCUUCAUAUCUAAUGAUGGGAUUUAGCUUCCUUUUUAAGGUAGAUGAGUCUUGUGUUUGGAGACAUCGGGGUGAGCGAAAAGUCAGAGUACAGGAUGAAGGCAUGGAGACACUGGCAAGUUGCACAAGUGAACUCAUAUCAGAAGAAAUGGAACAAUUAGAUGGAGGUGACACUAGCAGUGAGGAGGAUACAGAGGAACAUGAAACUCCUCCUGUAGACGUAGAACUCAUGACUCAGGUUGACCAAGAGGAUAUCACUGUUCAGAGUGGUAGAGAAGAACUAAAUGAGGAACUCAUUCAGGAAGAAAGCUCUGAAGAUGAAGGAGCAUGUGAAGAGGUUAGAAAAGAUCAGGAUCUUGUUGGUGAAAUGAAGGAUGAAGGGGAAGAGACAUUAAAUUACCCUGAUACUACCAUUGACUUGUCUCACCUUCAGCCUCAAAGGUCCCUCCAGAAGUUGGCUUCAAAAGAGGAAUCCUCUAAUUCUAGUGACAGUAAAUCACAGAGCCGGAGACAUUUGUCAGCCAAGGAAAGAAGGGAAAUGAAAAAGAAAAAACUUCCAAGUGACUCAGGAGAUUUAGAAGUGAUAGAGGGAAAGGACAAAGAAAAAGAAAUUACUGUGCAUGUUGAAACUCAUCAGAACACAAGCAAGAAUGUUACAGCUGUGCAGCCAAUGAAACGAGGACAAAAGAGUAAAAUGAAAAAAAUGAAGGAAAAAUACAAAGACCAGGAUGAAGAAGACCGUGAACUUAUCAUGAAAUUGCUGGGGUCCGCAGGUUCAAACAAAGAAGAAAAAGGGAAGAAGGGGAAGAAAGGAAAAACAAAGGAUGAACCUGUGAAGAAACAGCCCCAGGAACUCAGAGGUGGAGAAAGGGUCUCUGACAACAUUAAGAAAGAAAGUCCAUUUCUUGAGGUUAUUACUCAUGAGUUAUAAGACUUCACUGUAGAUGAUCCACAUGAUGACAAGGAAGAGCAAGAUCUGGAUCAACAGGGAAAUGAGGAAAACCUGUUUGAUUCUUUGACAGGCCAGCCACAUCCUGAAGAUGCACUAUUGUUUGCCAUUCCAAUAUGUGCCCCUUACACCACCAUGACAAACUACAAAUAUAAAGUGAAACUUACUCCUGGAGUGCAGAAAAAGGGAAAAGCUGUAAAAACAGCCUUGAAUAGUUUCAUGCAUUUCAAAGAAGCAACAGCAAGAGAAAAAGACUUAUUCCGCAGCGUAAAGGACACAGAUUUAUCAAGAAACAUUCCUGGCAAAGUGAAAGUGUCUGCACCCAAUCUUCUGAAUGUAAAAAGGACAUAGCUGAAAUGAAAUUCUAAAAAUAUUUGAGAAGACCCAAUUUUAUAGCCUUUUGGAAGUUCAAAGAUGAAAACACCAUGUUACAGGACUCAGCAUUAUAAAAAUGAACUAAACAUUGCCUUGCUAUAUAUAUUCACCAAAAGGACUUAAUUCUUGGUUUUUUCCCCCAGUUUUAUAUAUAAGAAGCACUGUCUAUGAUAGGAUUUCCUAAAAUAUUUGUGGACAGUUAAAUGCUAAUUAUAUGCAUCUGUCGUUAUUCUACAUUUUCUUGAAGUUUGGAGGUUAAUAUUGUGUUGUUUUCAUGAUGUAAAGAAACUGAACAGUGAAGUGGCUUGAUUGCUUAAACUACUGACUUGUUAAGUCUACUGUAUAUAGCAGCUAAUGUAUAUAUUACAGUCCA
Molecule: RNA transcript, 3450 nt
Organism: Sapajus apella (tufted capuchin)
Lineage: Eukaryota; Metazoa; Chordata; Mammalia; Primates; Cebidae
Gene name: nuclear export mediator factor NEMF pseudogene
Exons: 1
Source: RefSeq, a predicted model, not a curated record